GCGCACCAGGGCGAAAACUUUACAAUGUGCGAAAGCACGAUAAGGGAACUCUGAGUGCCUCCUAAGGAGGCUGUUCAGGUGUCUAAAAGCACCUGAAGGAAGGGCUGGGUAAGACCGGUGCCAGCCGCCGCGGUAACACCGGCAGCCCAAGUGGUAGCCACGUUUAUUGGGUCUAAAGCGUCCGUAGCCGGCUGGGUAAGUUCCUUGGGAGAUUUGGCUGGCUUAACAGUCAAGCUUUCAGGGAAUACUGCCCGGCUUGGGACCGGGAGAGGUCAGAGGUACUCCAGGGGUAGGGUGAAAUCCAUUAAUCCUUGGGGGACCACCGGUAGCGAAGGCGUCUGA
RNAcentral lists this ribosomal RNA (342 nucleotides) under uncultured microorganism. RNAcentral describes it as "bacterial SSU rRNA". It matches the Rfam family "Archaeal small subunit ribosomal RNA", at positions 330 to 679 of the family's 1478-position model. The record is from RNAcentral.